GGGCCAGACUCCUACGGGAGGCAGCAGUGGGGAAUAUUGCACAAUGGGGGAAACCCUGAUGCAGCGACGCCGCGUGAGUGAGGAAGUAUUUCGGUCUGUAAAGCUCUAUCAGCAGGGAAGAAAAUGACGGUACCUGAAGAAGAAGCCCCGGCUAACUACGUGCCAGCAGCCGCGGUAAUACGUAGGGGGCAAGCGUUAUCCGGAUUCACUGGGUGUAAAGGGAGCGUAGACGGCGACGCAAGUCUGGAGUGAAAGCCCGGGGCCCAACCCCGGGACUGCUCUGGAAACUGCGUCGCUGGAGUACGGGAGGGGCAGGCGGAAUUCCUGGUGUAGCGGUGAAAUGCGUAGAUAUCAGGAGGAACACCGGCGGCGAAGGCGGCCUGCUGGACCGCGACUGACGUUGAGGCUCGAAAGCGUGGGGAGCGAACAGGAUUAGAUACCCCGGUA
Molecule: ribosomal RNA, 447 nt
Filed under: uncultured bacterium
Lineage: Bacteria
Description: bacterial SSU rRNA
Rfam family: Bacterial small subunit ribosomal RNA
Source: RNAcentral